RNAcentral lists this unclassified non-coding RNA (325 nucleotides) under uncultured fungus. RNAcentral's name for it is "partial contains small subunit ribosomal RNA, internal transcribed spacer 1, and 5.8S ribosomal RNA". The stretch from base 1 to 73 matches the Rfam family "Eukaryotic small subunit ribosomal RNA", at positions 1759 to 1831 of the family's 1831-position model. Lineage: Eukaryota; Fungi. The record is from RNAcentral.
ACAAACUUGGUCAUUUAGAGGAAGUAAAAGUCGUAACAAGGUUUCCGUAGGUGAACCUGCGGAAGGAUCAUUAACGAGCCGUGAGGGUCACCUGGAAACAGGUAUGACCUUUCACUUGGCCACCCUUGUUUACCUUAACCUGUUGCUUUGGUGGGCCCGCCGCAAAAUGGCCGCCGGGAAACCUAUACUUUCCGGGCCCGCGCUCACCAAAGUCUUAAUGAAUUCUUGGUUAUACUUUUUGCUGUCUGAGCAUUAAAAUAAACAAAUAUACUUUAAAACUUUCAACAACGGAUCUCUUGGUUCUGGCAUCGAUGAAGAACGCAGC